This 2311-nucleotide long non-coding RNA is filed under the name Leguminivora glycinivorella. RNAcentral's name for it is "uncharacterized LOC125233965". The record is from RNAcentral. Lineage: Eukaryota; Metazoa; Arthropoda; Insecta; Lepidoptera; Tortricidae.
ACGUUACGUAACCUCGGUUACCUGUUAUUGAAAAAUAAUUCGUUAAUUAAAUGGCUUAUUUUAUUAUAAUCAUAUAAAUUUUAAAAAUGUACGUACUAAAUAAUCGUACAUUAUUACUGUUUAUUUGUAACGGCUGUUGCUAUCUGCAUCGCGCUGUACUUUGACAACUCUUUCUUGUCAAACGUAUACCGGUUGGCUGCGUCCCUUUCCCCCGCGGACCCUCUCUCCGCGCGGAGACGCGCCUCAGCCGAGCGGUCAGUCAGAUUUAGCUAUCAGUCGCCGGCCCACGCUCGCUUGCCUUGCGCAGUGACUAUCGUGUGGCCGGCGACAAAUGAUUAAUAUUUUAAUAGAUAUCUGUAUCGUUUAAUAUCUUCAAAUGUAAAUGAGUAGUGUUUAAAUCCCCAAUUGGGGUGCUAUGGUACGGGUGAUCACCGGCCAUGAGGCCACCAUCACGCUGACUCCAAGGACCUGGUGCUGACCCUGGCAGUCACGGCUGACGUUCUUCAGCACUCCGUCACUUCACCUACAUAGCGGAGCCAGGGAAGUACUAGCGUGUGGGCUACAGCUGCUUUCUUAAUCCGGGAGUAAAAUUAAUCAGACGGUUAACGGACUUUGACCCUUCGACGAUUGUUUCGAAUGCUUGCGACGGUUUAAGCGGAAUAAAUUUGUGAAGUGAGAUCUUUUGUUUAAUUUACUACUUCCCCGCCUUUAAACGUAGCAGUGGCGCCCUUACGUGGUUUUUUUAAAUAAAAAGUCUGAUUUUACUCCCGGUUAAGUAGUUGUGGUGUUGUACUUGGUGUUGGUUUUUAUGUUUUUAUUUUUGUGAAACGUUUUUUUUAUUUUUGGUUGCCAGCAGCUAACGUGUAGGGGACUGUUUUUUUUUCUCUUUUGUGAACAUAACUGAAGUUUUCUCAUGGUACAGUCGGACACAUAUAUAUUUUUUGUAACAAACUAAUAUUUGAUGUGAUGCAUAUAUCGUUAUGAAGGAUUGUUAAUUGUUGCUGAUUUUGUCCGGCAGUGCAGUUUUUAACAUUUUAAAAUUCUAAAAACAAUUGUUUAAUUUUAGUAUUGUGUUUUUUCGGUUUCUUACACAUUAGUUGCACUUUUAACGCUUUUUUUUUGUUUUAUACUUUUCUUUGUGUGUUUUACCCUUUUCGCUUAUUUUUAUUUCUUUAGACUUCAGAGCGUUACAUUUUAACAAAAACAACCAGAACGUUAGUAAUUUUUCAAUUAUUAUUGUAACAGACGGAGUAUAUUUCGUUUUAUUCGUUCAACAUUUACCUAAUUUUUUUUUUCUCUUCAGUCGUUUUUAAAUAUAUUUUUUUUCCCUGUUUCAUUUUUUUUUUUUUGAAAUUGAGGUCAUUCAGUUAAUAAUGCGUGAUACCAUCUUUUAAGUACAGUUCUUGUAGGGUUUCAAGUUCAUGUAACGGGAAACCUCAUUUUAUGUAGUGAUUAUGCGCUAGUGACUAUACGCUUGGACCCUAUUUUUCAAGUAUCACUAACGUAUUAUAUGUAAGCGAGAAGUAUGAAUAAAGAUUUAUGGAAGUGUAGACAGGAGCUUAACUCUGCGGAUUUUAUUUCAUUUAGAUGAUAUAAAAUCCUUGACCACGCGGCGGGGUACUGUAACGUAGUUACGUUACGUAACCUCGGUUACCUGUUAUUGAAAAAUAAUUCGUUAAUUAAAUGGCUUAUUUUAUUAUAAUCAUAUAAAUUUUAAAAAUGUACGUACUAAAUAAUCGUACAUUAUUACUGUUUAUUUGUAACGGCUGUUGCUAUCUGCAUCGCGCUGUACUUUGACAACUCUUUCUUGUCAAACGUAUACCGGUUGGCUGCGUCCCUUUCCCCCGCGGACCCUCUCUCCGCGCGGAGACGCGCCUCAGCCGAGCGGUCAGUCAGAUUUAGCUAUCAGUCGCCGGCGCACGCUCGCUUGCCUUGCGCAGUGACUAUCGUGUGGCCGGCGACAAAUGAUUAAUAUUUUAAUAGAUAUCUGUAUCGUUUAAUAUCUUCAAAUGUAAAUGAGUAGUGUUUAAAUCCCCAAUUGGGGUGCUAUGGUACGGGUGAUCACCGGCCAUGAGGCCACCAUCACGCUGACUCCAAGGACCUGGUGCUGACCCUGGCAGUCACGGCUGACGUUCUUCAGCACUCCGUCACUUCACCUACAUAGCGGAGCCAGGGAAGUACUAGCGUGUGGGCUACAGCUGCUUUCUUAAUCCGGGAGUAAAAUUAAUCAGACGGUUAACGGACUUUGACCCUUCGACGAUUGUUUCGAAUGCUUGCGACGGUUUAAGCGGAAUAAAUUUGUGAAGUGAGA